This 4219-nucleotide long non-coding RNA is filed under the name Manihot esculenta (cassava). RNAcentral's name for it is "long non-coding RNA (MESC_LNC005727)". Lineage: Eukaryota; Viridiplantae; Streptophyta; Magnoliopsida; Malpighiales; Euphorbiaceae. The record is from RNAcentral.
UUUGAAAGCUUCCAGAGAUUCAACAUUUUUCCAAAUAGGUGAGCUCUUAACGAAAGGCGUGGUUUGAAUCUUCACUGGCUCACUGCCCACCAUGACAAUCGUUGCAGUAGAUUGUGUGGAUUUGUUAACUUGUCUUUCUCCAUUACCUGCACAAUGAUUAUACUCAAGCAUACUGGUCUAUAAAAUCAAGAGUGCAUAAAAUUGUGCUUCAGUUACCCACAGUCGUCAGAGCAUAUACCUUCAUGACAUAUUGAUAGAGAUUGAUCAUCAUUACUGGAUGCUCUUACCAUAGCCACAUUGACUUCUGCUUUGUUAUCCACUGAGGAAACUGAGGCAAAUUCAAGUAACACAAAUCAAAGGAAGGGUCAGAAUAAUGACAAAUAUUGGCGAAAAGAUAGAAUAAAAAUUAAGCUUGUAAUAGGUCUGGUUAUUUCAUAGAAAAGUUUGUUUCAAUUGUACAUUCAUGAAGUGUAGAAGGACCUCCAUCUUAUCAAACAAACUAAUCCCUGUUCUCCCAGUUAGAAAUGACAAAGAUUUCCACUUUUUCCCAUUAGUGGAUUUCUGUCUCCAAGAAUUGUCAAAGUCUGAAACUGAAACUGAAACGGCAGAGGUUCUGGCAUUCUAAAAACCUCCUUUGCUAGUAAGAAAUGCAACUCUAGCUCAAAUGAUAAAGCUUGGUUGAAGAUGCUAAAGUUUCUUCCUUUCCUUCUCCAAAUUUCCCAUGCUUGUUCGUUCAAGAUCACAAUAGAAUUUGAUGUCAAAACCUUCUUCCUUUCUCUUCUUGCUAUUUCCCAUUUAUCUUCCAUAAGAAUUCCAGGGUAACCACAUCUGAACUCCCAAAAUACUGCCACUCAUUUCCAACACCUACACUUUUUGUAAAACCUUUAUCUUUCUUUUUUCCAAGAACAUGUCCAAUAAUUUCAGUACCAAAAAAUUCAUUUUCGAGAAUGAAUUGUGCAAACACUUCAGAUUCAACUAAUAUUGUCCUCAUUUCAGACUCUAGUUGCCCAUCAUCACCAUCUUCGUUGUUCUUCUCCUCAUAGAUCUCACUUACAUUAGACUUGUCAACAAAAAGCUCCUGCUCCAUCUCAAUGGCUUUGUCUUUCUUAUUAGAAGUUUCACACAGAGACUCUUGUACUUCGCUAGACUUUUCAAAAUUUUGAUCUUCAUUAAUCAAGACUGCAAUCUUUUCCUUUCUCACUUGAAUUGAUUGUUCAAAUCUUUUCAUUUUCUGAUCUAAACUUUCUACUUUCUGAAUCACUUUUUCAAAUCUUUGUUCCAACUGCUCCUUUUGUUAUUUUAAUCUUCUAUCUAGCAUUUCUUGAACUCUGAAGAAAAUUUUGUGUCAAAUUCCAUAAUUCAAGAAUUUCAAGGAAACAAAAAACAAGAAAUCAAGAAAGAGUGAUCUGAUAUUUGGGAACUCAAGGGAGGAAAUUUUCGGAAAAAUCAAGAAAGAAGGAAGAAGACGAAUGUCAAGAAAGGGAGACAAGAAAGAAAUCUAAAUAGAGGGAAGGGAGAUGGAAGAAAGGAGAAGAAAGGAAAAGGGUAGAUUAGCAAAGUAAGAACAGAAUAAGAAGAAGAGAGGAAAAGAAAGAAGAAAUCUCAGAAAAGGAGGAGGAAGAGAAAGGAACAGAAGUAACCUGGUAUUUGGGAAGACUUCAACUGAUCUGCCAUACAUGCAACUCCAGUGAAACAAUUUCCAGUAGUUGCCCGCUGAUCUAACAGCUCUUAUUCCACUUGUCACAUAAUCAGAAUCUCCAUUACAGAAUAAUAGAAAUUAGCCAAGAAAUAUAGAAAUGAAAGGGAGGAAUAGAAGAAGAGAGAAUUAAGAGAGAAGAAUUUAGAGAGACGAGAAAGUAGAUCCUUAUUGAUUAGAAUUUCAGAAUGACAAUCCUGGAGCUAUUCCAUUCCUUUUAUAGGUCAGUUUCUUCUAAAGACAGCAGUUCCCGCCAAUUCCUUCUUACCUAACAAAUCUGUAACAACCCUGGACAUCUAACCAGAAUAUAAUUCCCUCCUUAACUACUACUAGACUCUUAUAUGUAAGAGAGAUGACCAACAAACCAGUCAUCUAUGUAGUCCUCAUACCAUAGGCAUAGAUACAAACCAAAAUGGGGAACGGUUAGAUGUACACCAACCUAAUAGCUUACGGGUGUACCUCAAUAUUUAGUUCAGGUGCUUCUACUCAUUUAUUUAUUUUGUACUGCAUGUCUGAAGUUACUAAAUGGAGAAGGAUUUCAAGUUGUUAAUCCCUUGUACCUUCAGGCUCCGAACCUAUUAGUAUAGACAAUUCAACCUCUUUAUCUGCACAAUGUUUAAAAUUCAUUUCGCUAGCAUCUCCAGGUGCAUCGUGCUGGUCACCUACAUGAAACACAUUGAAUUAGUUUUGCCAUAUACAAUUAUUCAGCCAUUAUUUAGGUAAAUAUCUGCACCUGCUUUCCGCUGCCCAAUUGCAUCACUUUCUUUCCGUAGAUUAACCUCCUGUACAGUUAAAGCACAGACAGCAAUUAACAUGUAUGGAUAUGAAAAAUUGGCCAAUUGUAACCUUAUUAUCUCCACAUUAUUCUAAAAUUCAACAUAUUUCAUGGGGGGAAAUGGAACAAGUAGCAUAUUAUUCUCAAUUUCAUAUGCUUGACUUGUCGUGCCUGAAGCAGCUACUUUCCCAAGUGAUGUGAGACUUCUUUCUUUGGAAUGUUCUUUACAUUAUUGGAUCAUGCAAUACCUCAUCAGGAAGCUGGUAAGAAUUUUCUGGAGGUAAGCCCCUUCUCCCCUCAGUUAAGGCACCAGAAGAUUCAGCAUCUUUUUCUACAUGCUCAACUUCAGUAGUAACUUCAUAAGAAUCUCCUCUUGUCUUGUCCUCUCCACCUGCUGCUCGAAUCCACUGACUUCUAACUUGGGCAUUCGGUAGUAAUUUCCAUUUUAGCAAGCCAGCUUCUUGUUGAUUAGGCUCCUAUUGUCAGAAAAUAAUCCAAACAAAGUUCUCAAUAAAAUAAUCCAAAGAAAGCCCAUGAAUCUAUACGUAAAUUUGCCAGAUGCUUCACAAAGUUCACAUUAUUAACAAUAAAAUUCAUGGUAUGAUGUGAUGAAAACAGGAUAUUAUCACUAUGCCAGUCUUUGCACUUGUUUCUCUCCAUAGUAUAAAUUAUUUAACAAAUGUCAAAAGCAAAAGGUUGGCUUACAAUGUUAUUUCCCCUGAAUGGACUCUCAGAUCCAGCAUUGUCAACCAAUUGUUGGGUUGAGCAUUUAGUUGGUGCACUGUCUGUGACCUGUACUUCUUGAUUUGUUGUCUUGAUUGGUAUCAACUUUGCAGGAUGUACUACUGGAGACAGAGGGUUUCCCGACUUUUCCAUUUUGAACUUCUUGGAAGCACAUGAUAGUUUGUACUCAAUCUCAGGUGCCCUCUUCUUCACUGCCAUACUUGCUGAUUUUACUUUACAGGGGGUUGAAAGCUCCAAUGAGUUCCUACUUGAAUUUUUGCAUGAGGAUUUCUCUUCUGAGUGAUCCUUUUCUGCAGUUGAACUCUCAAUAUGAAAAGUUGCCCCAGGACUUUCAGCAUUGUUGUCAGCAUGUGUUGGAUGUUCUUUGUUUUGUAUAUCAAUUGAUGUAUCCUGAAACAAAGCCCAUUAUCUGAAGCUAACAUACACUAAAGUGGUUCUGCAGAUAUAUUCUUCUAGAGCAACACAGCUGUACUAGGUUUACACAUAAUAGUACCACCAAACUACCAGUCAUAUAUACUAGGGAUGAUAAGUGGGGGAUAUAGGGAGAAGUGUCAUAUUCACAUCCAAUAAUACUAAUUCUAGUUUAAACUUAGGCAACAAAAUAAUAUUGUGGUUUUCAUGAGGAUGAUCUAAUUAUCCUUUUCCUCUCUACUCCUUUGAAAGUACAAAGCAACAUAGAACAUUGUUCCAGUCACUUAGGUGAAUCUUUCUGUCAAGUUCAAAUUAGCGUGUGCGUCUAUGUAGUAGGCAUGCAUAUCUGUCCCAAAAGACAGUGCAAGAGAGUUAUCAAUUAACAAUAUUUCAAGAACAAAAAAUGCAGCAGAUAGAAGACGGAAUACCCUGCAAUAACUAAUCCAUGUGCCAUUCUUCAGGUACUGGCGUGGCCUUAUUUCUGAUUGGCUGAAUUGCCUCUCCUCAUCAGCAUGUUUUAGAAAGAUGUUAUACCUUCCAUCUGUAAGAAUCUUGGUAAUGAAGCCAUCCCUCCAACUUGAAUUACAGAAAGC